Molecule: unclassified non-coding RNA, 178 nt
Filed under: soil metagenome
Description: partial internal transcribed spacer 1
Source: RNAcentral
UCGAGUUACCGCUCUACAACCCUUUGUGAACAUACCUAACUGUUGCCUCGGCGGGCAGGGGGUCCCCCCGGGGACGCCCUCCCGGCCCCGCCCCCCUACCAGGGGACGUGGCGCCCGCCGGAGGAUACCCAACUCUAUUUUAACGACGUUUCUUCUGAGUGGCACAAGCAAAUAAUUA